Molecule: transfer RNA, 16 nt
Filed under: Drosophila iri
Lineage: Eukaryota; Metazoa; Arthropoda; Insecta; Diptera; Drosophilidae
Also listed under: 1 other name
Description: tRNA-Asn
Source: RNAcentral
UAAUUGAAGCCAAAAA